This 608-nucleotide ribosomal RNA is filed under the name uncultured bacterium. Its description in RNAcentral is "bacterial SSU rRNA". It matches the Rfam family "Bacterial small subunit ribosomal RNA", at positions 90 to 716 of the family's 1533-position model. The record is from RNAcentral.
ACCGAGUGGCGAACGGGUGAGUAACACGUGGGGAACCUGCCCUUCUCUCUGGGAUAACUCCGGGAAACCGGAGCUAAUACCGGAUACUCCUUGCGGACCGCAUGGUCUGCUCGGGAAAGCUCCGGCGGAGAAGGAUGGCCCCGCGGCCCAUUAGCUUGUUGGUGGGGUAACGGCCCACCAAGGCGACGAUGGGUAGCCGAGCUGAGAGGCUGAUCGGCCACACUGGGACUGAGACACGGCCCAGACUCCUACGGGAGGCAGCAGUGGGGAAUCUUGCGCAAUGGGCGAAAGCCUGACGCAGCAACGCCGCGUGCGGGAUGAAGGCUCUCGGGUCGUAAACCGCUUUCAGCAGGGAUGAAAAUGACAGUACCUGCAGAAGAAGCCCCGGCUAAAUACGUGCCAGCAGCCGCGGUAAUACGUAUGGGGCAAGCGUUAUCCGGAUUCAUUGGGCGUAAAGCGCGCGUAGGCGGCUUGUUAAGUCAGGCGUGAAAUCCGGGGGCUCAACCCGCGGCUUGCGUCUGAAACUGGCAGGCUUGAGUCUGGUAGAGGAAAGUGGAAUUCCUGGUGUAGCGGUGAAAUGCGCAGAUAUCAGGAGGAACACCAGUGGC